GACGAACGCUGGCGGCGUGCUUAACACAUGCAAGUCGAGCGGUAAGGCCCUUUUGGGGGUACACGAGCGGCGAACGGGUGAGUAACACGUGGGUGACCUGCCUUCAGCUUCGGGAUAAGCUUGGGAAACUGGGUCUAAUACCGGAUAUGACUUGGCCUCGCAUGGGGUUGGUGGAAAGUUUUUUCGGCUGGUAGAUGGGCCCGCGGCCUAUCAGCUUGUUGGUGGGGUGAUGGCCUACCAAGGCGACGACGGGUAGCCGGCCUGAGAGGGCGACCGGCC
This 279-nucleotide ribosomal RNA is filed under the name uncultured bacterium. RNAcentral's name for it is "partial 16S ribosomal RNA". It matches the Rfam family "Bacterial small subunit ribosomal RNA", at positions 28 to 309 of the family's 1533-position model. The record is from RNAcentral.